CUCCAAGACCUAAAAACCUCCCAUCAGGCCCCACCUCCAACACCGGGGAUCAAAUUUCAACGUAAGAUUUGGAAAGGUCAAAAAUCCAAACUAUAGCAGCUAGUAAAGCAUUAUUUCUGGGUGCGUCUGUGAGGGUGUUUCUGGAGGAGAUGGGCAUGCAAAUUGGUAAACUGAGUGGAGAAGUUCUGCCCUCAGGGGUGGGUGGGCACCAUCCAAUCGGUUGUGAACCUGGAGAGAACAAAAAGGCAGAGGAAAUUCUAAUUUGCAGUCUCUCGGAGCUGGGACAUCCUUCCUCUCCUGUCCUUGGACAACAGAUCCCCAGGUUCUCUGGCCUUUGGACUUUGGGACUUGCACUAGCAGCACCCUGAGUUAUUAGGCCUUUAGCCUUGGAAUGAGAGUUAUAUUAUCAGCUUCCCUGGUUCUGAGGCCUUCAAACUUAUACUGAGCCAUGCUACUGGCAUCCCAGCAUUUCCAGCUUGCAGAAGGCCUGCCAUGGGACUCCUCAGCCUCCAUAAUUGUGUCCUGUCAGCCGCUGGAUCCCACAAAACUCUGCAGAGAUUUUGCCACCUGGACUAAGGUAACUAAGCUCACAUGACUCCCCCCUCAGCCCUGUCCCCAGCCUAGGUACUCACCAUUUAUUAUAGAGAUUAACUUGAUUUAUGCUUGAUUUUACUUGCCAUGUUUUCUCCCAAAUAUUUUGUCCCUGAUUAGGCCUUUCUGUUUCUUGCAUGGGCCAGACUUGAAAUUUAAAAAGCCAGAAAGGAGUCUCUUUCUGCCUCCUCCCCUGCUGUCACUCCAAGGCAAUCAACAUAGAACAGCUUAGCAAAAUGUAUGUGAGGAGGAACAAAGGAGAUAAGAAAUGCCAAACUAUGAGUGAGUGUUUCUAAACAUUAUCCUACAUUAUCUUCUCUACCUUGUACUUUCAAUACAUCAUCUCAUUUGAUCUUCACACUCCAAGGUAACAAUGCAAAGUCCUAAUGUCUUCUUUUACAAAAGAAAAAGCAGGCAGGAGAGCCUGCAUGACUUUCCUAAGACUCCAUGAUAAUGGGCAGGAGUAGGGCACACCUGG
RNAcentral lists this long non-coding RNA (1069 nucleotides) under Homo sapiens (human). Its description in RNAcentral is "HSALNT0089866". The record is from RNAcentral. Lineage: Eukaryota; Metazoa; Chordata; Mammalia; Primates; Hominidae.